CCUACGGGUGGCUGCAGUGAGGAAUAUUGGUCAAUGGACGAAAGUCUGAACCAGCCAUGCCGCGUGCAGGAUGAAUGCCCUAUGGGUUGUAAACUGCUUUUAUAUAGGAAUAAACCCCUUUACGUGUAAAGGGCUGAAGGUACUAUAAGAAUAAGGACCGGCUAACUCCGUGCCAGCAGCCGCGGUAAUACGGAGGGUCCCAGCGUUAUCCGGAUUUAUUGGGUUUAAAGGGUCCGCAGGCGGCAGAGGAGAAAGCCUAUCGCUUAACGAUAGAACUGCCAUUGAUACUGUUUUUCUUGAGUAUAGUUGAAGUGGGCGGAAUGUGUGAUGUAGCGGUGAAAUGCAUAGAUAUGACACAGAACACCGAUUGCGAAGGCAGCUCACUAAAUUAUGACUGACGCUCAUGCACGAAAGCGUGGGGAGCAAACAGGAUUAGAUACCCGUGUAGUC
This 450-nucleotide ribosomal RNA is filed under the name uncultured bacterium. RNAcentral describes it as "partial 16S ribosomal RNA". It matches the Rfam family "Bacterial small subunit ribosomal RNA", at positions 338 to 795 of the family's 1533-position model. The record is from RNAcentral.